CCAAAUAUAUUAUAUUUGCUUUAAUAAGUAGGUUUGUGGAGCCUAAAAAUCUUAGGAUAUUUGGU
This 65-nucleotide transfer RNA is filed under the name Eleutherocaulis alte. Its description in RNAcentral is "tRNA-His". Lineage: Eukaryota; Metazoa; Mollusca; Gastropoda; Systellommatophora; Veronicellidae. The record is from RNAcentral.